UUAAGUGAAUAAGGGCGCACGGUGGAUGCCUUGGUACUAGGAGCCGAAGAAGGACGGAACUAACACCGAUAUGCUUUGGGGAGCUGUAAGUAAGCUAAGAUCCAAAGAUUUCCGAAUGGGGGAACCCAACACCUUUCAUAGGGUGUUACCAAUGAGUGAAUACAUAGCUCAUUAGGAGGUACACGCAGGGAACUGAAACAUCUCAUUACCUGCAGGAAGAGAAAGAAAAAUCGAUUCCCUGAGUAGCGGCGAGCGAAACGGGAGGAGCCCAAACCAACGAGCUUGCUUGUUGGGGUUGUAGGACUAGAACGUGAGAAGAAAUCAAGAUAGCAGAAGUGGUCUGGAAAGGCCCAUCAAAGAAGGUGACAAUCCUGUACGCGACAUCUUGAUGAACUCUACUAGCAUCCUGAGUACGGCGGGACACGAGGAAUCCCGUCGGAAUCCGCCAGGACCAUCUGGCAAGGCUAAAUACUACCUAGUGACCGAUAGUGAACCAGUACCGUGAGGGAAAGGUGAAAAGAACCCCGGGAGGGGAGUGAAAGAGUACCUGAAACCGUGUGCUUACAAGUAGUCAGAGCCCGUUAAUGGGUGAUGGCGUGCCUUUUGUAGAAUGAACCGGCGAGUUACGAUAUGAUGCGAGGUUAAGUUGAAGAGACGGAGCCGUAGGGAAACCGAGUCUUAAUAGGGCGCAUUAGUAUCAUGUCGUAGACCCGAAACCAUGUGACCUACCCAUGAGCAGGUUGAAGGUGAGGUAAAACUCACUGGAGGACCGAACCAGGGCACGUUGAAAAGUGCUUGGAUGACUUGUGGGUAGCGGAGAAAUUCCAAACGAACUUGGAGAUAGCUGGUUCUCUCCGAAAUAGCUUUAGGGCUAGCGUCGACAUUAAGAUUCUUGGAGGUAGAGCACUGUUUGGGUGAGGGGUCCAUCCCGGAUUACCAAUCUCAGAUAAACUCCGAAUGCCAAUGAAUUAUGGUCGGCAGUCAGACUGCGAGUGCUAAGAUCCGUAGUCGAAAGGGAAACAGCCCAGACCACCAGCUAAGGUCCCAAAAUAUAUGUUAAGUGGAAAAGGAUGUGGGGUUGCACAGACAACUAGGAUGUUAGCUUAGAAGCAGCUAUUCAUUCAAAGAGUGCGUAAUAGCUCACUAGUCGAGUGACCCUGCGCCGAAAAUGUACCGGGGCUAAAACAUAUUACCGAAGCUGUGGAUACCUUUAUAGGUAUGGUAGGAGAGCGUUCUAUGUGCGAAGAAGGUGUACCGUGAGGAGUGCUGGAGCGCAUAGAAGUGAGAAUGCCGGUAUGAGUAGCGAAAGACAGGUGAGAAUCCUGUCCACCGUAAGACUAAGGUUUCCAGGGGAAGGCUCGUCCGCCCUGGGUUAGUCGGGACCUAAGGAGAGACCGAAAGGUGUAUCCGAUGGACAACAGGUUGAUAUUCCUGUACUAGAGUAUGUAGUGAAGGAGGGACGCAGUAGGCUAACUAAAGCGUGCGACUGGAAGUGCACGUCUAAGCAGUGAGGUGUGAAUUGAGUUAAAUGCUUAAUUCUAUAACAUUGAGCUGUGAUGGGGAGCGAAGUUUAGUAGCGAAGUUAGUGACGUCACACUGCCAAGAAAAGCUUCUAGCGUUAAUCAUACUCUACCCGUACCGCAAACCGACACAGGUAGUCGAGGCGAGUAGCCUCAGGUGAGCGAGAGAACUCUCGUUAAGGAACUCGGCAAAAUGACCCCGUAACUUCGGGAGAAGGGGUGCUGGUAGCAAUACCAGCCGCAGUGAAUAGGCCCAGGCGACUGUUUAUCAAAAACACAGGUCUCUGCAAAAUCGAAAGAUGACGUAUAGGGGCUGACGCCUGCCCGGUGCUGGAAGGUUAAGAGGAGAGGUUAGCGCAAGCGAAGCUUUGAAUUGAAGCCCCAGUAAACGGCGGCCGUAACUAUAACGGUCCUAAGGUAGCGAAAUUCCUUGUCGGGU
This 1959-nucleotide ribosomal RNA is filed under the name human metagenome. RNAcentral describes it as "bacterial LSU rRNA". It matches the Rfam family "Bacterial large subunit ribosomal RNA", at positions 1 to 1977 of the family's 2925-position model. The record is from RNAcentral.